Molecule: ribosomal RNA, 273 nt
Filed under: uncultured bacterium
Lineage: Bacteria
Description: partial 16S ribosomal RNA
Rfam family: Bacterial small subunit ribosomal RNA
Source: RNAcentral
UACAGAGGGCGCGAGCGUUGUCCGGAAUCACUGGGCGUAAAGGGCGCGUAGGUGGCCACCAUAAGGCCGCGGUGAAAGUCUGGGGCUCAACCCCGGAUCGGCCGCGGCGACUGUGGGGCUGGGGUACCGUAGAGGCAGAUGGAAUUCCGGGUGUAGCGGUGGAAUGCGUAGAGAUCCGGAAGAACACCAGUGGCGAAGGCGGUCUGCUGGGCGGUGGGAUCGAAAGGUCCCUUCAACCGACACUGAGGCGCGACAGCGUGGGGAGCAAACAGG